UGAGGAAUAUUGGUCAAUGGGCGAGAGCCUGAACCAGCCAAGUAGCGUGCAGGAUGACGGCCCUAUGGGUUGUAAACUGCUUUUAUAUGGGAAUAAAGUGAGGGACGUGUCCCUUAUUGCAUGUACCAUACGAAUAAGGACCGGCUAAUUCCGUGCCAGCAGCCGCGGUAAUACGGAAGGUCCAGGCGUUAUCCGGACUUAUUGGGUUUAAAGGGAGCGUAGGCUGUUUGUUAAGCGUGUUGUGAAAUGUAAGAGCUCAACUUGUAGAUUGCAGCGCGAACUGGCAGAUUUGAGUGCGCACAACGUAGGCGGAAUUCGUGGUGUAGCGGUGAAAUGCUUAGAUAUCAUGACGAACUCCGAUUGCGAAGGCAGCUUACGGGAGCGCAACUGCCGCUAAAGCUCGAAGGUGCGGGUAUCGAACAGG
This 424-nucleotide ribosomal RNA is filed under the name Verrucomicrobiota bacterium. Its description in RNAcentral is "Verrucomicrobia bacterium partial 16S ribosomal RNA". It matches the Rfam family "Bacterial small subunit ribosomal RNA", at positions 355 to 776 of the family's 1533-position model. Lineage: Bacteria; Pseudomonadati; Verrucomicrobiota. The record is from RNAcentral.